RNAcentral lists this ribosomal RNA (348 nucleotides) under uncultured bacterium. RNAcentral describes it as "partial 16S ribosomal RNA". It matches the Rfam family "Bacterial small subunit ribosomal RNA", at positions 338 to 682 of the family's 1533-position model. The record is from RNAcentral.
CCUACGGGAGGCAGCAGUGAGGAAUAUUGGUCAAUGGGCGGGAGCCUGAACCAGCCAAGUCGCGUGAGGGAAGACGGUCCUAUGGAUUGUAAACCUCUUUAGGCGGGGAGCAAGGCCGGGCACGUGUGCCCGGAGGGAGAGAACCCGCAGAAGAAGCAGCGGCGAACUCCGUGCCAGCAGCCGCGGUAAUACGGAGGAUCCGAGCGUUAGCCGGAUUUCUUGGGUUUAAAGGGAGCGUAGGUGGCUUGUUAAGUCAGUGGUGAAAGUUUGCGGCUCAACCGUAAAAUGGCAGUUGAAACUGGCAGUCUUGAGUACAGUAGCGGUGGGCGGAAUUCGUGGUGUCGCGGU